UGGGGAAUAUUGCACAAUGGGCGCAAGCCUGAUGCAGCCAUGCCGCGUGUGUGAAGAAGGCCUUCGGGUUGUAAAGCACUUUCAGCGGGGAGGAAGGCGUUAAGGUUAAUAACCUUGGCGAUUGACGUUACCCGCAGAAGAAGCACCGGCUAACUCCGUGCCAGCAGCCGCGGUAAUACGGAGGGUGCAAGCGUUAAUCGGAAUUACUGGGCGUAAAGCGCACGCAGGCGGUCUGUCAAGUCGGAUGUGAAAUCCCCGGGCUCAACCUGGGAACUGCAUUCGAGACUGGCAGGCUAGAGUCUUUUAGAGGGGGGUAGAAUUCCAGGUGUAGCGGUGAAAUGCGUAGAGAUCUGGAGGAAUACCGGUGGCGAAGGCGGCCCCCUGGACAAAGACUGACGCUCAGGUGCGAAAGCGGGGGGAGCAAACAGG
RNAcentral lists this ribosomal RNA (429 nucleotides) under Chloroflexota bacterium. RNAcentral describes it as "Chloroflexi bacterium partial 16S ribosomal RNA". It matches the Rfam family "Bacterial small subunit ribosomal RNA", at positions 355 to 776 of the family's 1533-position model. Lineage: Bacteria; Bacillati; Chloroflexota. The record is from RNAcentral.